AGUGAACGCUGGCGGUAGGCCUAACACAUGCAAGUCGAACGGCAGCUCAGUAAGAGCUUGCUCUUACGGGUGGCGAGUGGCGGACGGGUGAGGAAUACAUCGGAAUCUACUUUUUCGUGGGGGAUAACGUAGGGAAACUUACGCUAAUACCGCAUACGACCUACGGGUGAAAGCAGGGGAUCUUCGGACCUUGCGCGAUUGAAUGAGCCGAUGUCGGAUUAGCUAGUUGGCGGGGUAAAGGCCCGCCAAGGCGACGAUCCGUAGCUGGUCUGAGAGGAUGAUCAGCCACACUGGAACUGAGACACGGUCCAGACUCCUACGGGAGGCAGCAGUGGGGAAUAUUAGACAAUGGGCGCGAGCCUGAUCCAGCCAUACCGCGUGGGUGAAGAAGGCCUUCGGGUUGUAAAGCCCUUUUGUUGGGAAAGAAAAGCAGCAGGUUAAUACCCCGCUGUUCUGACGGUACCCAAAGAAUAAGCACCGGCUAACUUCGUG
RNAcentral lists this ribosomal RNA (492 nucleotides) under uncultured bacterium. RNAcentral describes it as "partial 16S ribosomal RNA". It matches the Rfam family "Bacterial small subunit ribosomal RNA", at positions 29 to 507 of the family's 1533-position model. The record is from RNAcentral.